GACGAACGCUGGCGGCGUGCUUAACACAUGCAAGUCGAACGGAAAGGCCCUGCUUUUGUAGGGUGCUCGAGUGGCGAACGGGUGAGUAACACGUGAGUAACCUGCCCUUGACUUUGGGAUAACUUCAGGAAACUGGGGCUAAUACCGGAUAGGAGCUCCUGCUGCAUGGUGGGGGUUGGAAAGUUUCGGCGGUUGGGGAAGGACUCGCGGCUUAUCCGCUUGUUGGUGGGGUAGUGGCUUACCAAGGCUUUGACGGGUAGCCGGCCUGAGAGGGGGACCGGGCACAUUGGGAGUGGGAAGGGGCCAGUCGGCAAGGGGGAGGAAGGGGGGGGAAAUUUGCCGAAAGGGGCGGAAGCCGUGAUGAAGAACCCCGGGUCGGAAAAGUCGGCUUUUGGGGAGGAACACCUUUUCCCGUGAAUGGGAGCGUGGGGGAGGGAAAUAGGUAAAAAGCCACCGCUAAAUUGGUG
RNAcentral lists this ribosomal RNA (467 nucleotides) under uncultured bacterium. RNAcentral's name for it is "partial 16S ribosomal RNA". It matches the Rfam family "Bacterial small subunit ribosomal RNA", at positions 28 to 507 of the family's 1533-position model. The record is from RNAcentral.